Molecule: small RNA, 333 nt
Filed under: Histoplasma capsulatum
Lineage: Eukaryota; Fungi; Ascomycota; Eurotiomycetes; Onygenales; Ajellomycetaceae
Also listed under: 1 other name
Description: hypothetical RNA
Source: RNAcentral
GACCAGCUAUGAGGAAAAGUAACGUCGACAUCCGUACCACCCAUACUCAAUUGUAAGUACCAUCGAGGCGUAUACACCCACAUACGGAGGAGAGAAGACAAGGAAACACCAAAUUCAGCCAAAUUCACCGCUGUAAUAUUGCGGUAGACCAUCCAGAUACGCAUGUGUCCACAAUGGGAACAUACUCAGCAGACAGGGGGAUGAUCUAUAUGAAUUACAUCCCUUCGCUGCUCCGCGGUUUUCACUUCGCAGAUAGAGCCAUAUCCUCCAGACUGGAUAUAUAUAUAUAUAUAUAUAUUAGCUGAUCUAUUAUUAGAAAAGUAACUUCGCAGG